Molecule: long non-coding RNA, 5446 nt
Filed under: Homo sapiens (human)
Lineage: Eukaryota; Metazoa; Chordata; Mammalia; Primates; Hominidae
Description: non-protein coding lnc-SPATA19-5:1
Source: RNAcentral
GUGCCAUGUGAAAUUUCUGUCAUAUACUGUUACCUGAAGUAGCCUUGCCCACCACCCCACCUGCCCUUUGAAUGCCAGUGUGAAUCCUACAUGUGUUCACACACCAGGUCAUUUCGCUUCUCUGUAUGAAGCUGAAUUAGUCCGUUCUCACUUUGCUAUGAAGAAAUACCCGAGGCUGGGUAAUUUAUAAAGGAAUGAGAUUUAAUUGACUCACAGUUCCACAUGGCAGGGAAGGCCUCAGGAAACUUACAAUCAUGGUGGAAGGCACCUCUUCACAGGGUGGCAGGAGAGAGAAUGAGAGCCGGCAGGGGAAAUGACAGAUGCUUACAAAACCAACAGAUCUCCCGAGAACUCACUAUCAUGAGAACAGCAUGGGGGAACCGCCCCUGUGAUUCAAUUACCUCCACCUGGUCCUGCCCUGGAAAUGAGGGGAUUAUGGAGAUUACAAUUCAAGGUGAGAUCUGGGUGGGGACACAGAGCCAAGCCAUAUCAGAAGCUUUUAGCAGUUAUCUUAGCUCACAAUGGACUCUUCCUUCUCCUAAUUUUUCUGACACUUAUAGUCAGAAUCAUGUAACUUAGCACAAUAAAGUCUUGCAUUGACCUUGGAUUGAUUAACAUCUUCUAUGUCUUUCCAAGCUUUUUAUGUCUCCAACAAAAUUACGUAUGUGGACUAAAUAUUCUACUUUUUACAUUUUCCAGUGCCUAGUAUAUAGUAAUUCACAUUCAUGGGUAUUUGUAAUUUGAGUCCAUAUAGUUUCUGACUAUGGAUCCAGAAGAUGUCAUUGGCUGAAAUUAUGUUAACUUUUUUUAAUGCCUCUUCAUACUAUCUUGUAUAUGUUCAGUGUCCAAAUUAAGUUGUUGUCUGAUUGUUUCCCCACCCUCCACACAUAAAUAUGAACAAACAAGCAGACAUUUACUCUGAAGGAGUCCAGGUACACUACCUAAGCGCAUGUCAAAGAAUUAUUUUAAGUGAGACUUCCAGUUUCCCCCUCCGAUUUUAUCAAAAAAGUUUACAUAGAUAUUUCUUCUGAAAUAAAGCCAAGAAAGACUUAAAACCACAUUUACCUAAACAUAUGGAACAUGUCCUCAUCCCUAACAAAAGCUCUCAAUGUUAUCAAUUAAAAAAAUACAACCUGGAAUUGAGACCUGUAUUCAUUUUGGAACAAACCUCAAAUUCGUAUUUUUGUGGUGAGACCAAAUUGAAAACCUCAUCUUUAAGCAAUAAAUAUCUCUGAGCAGAUUCUCUCUACUUCAGCCACCAAAGUAAUUCCUUGUUUCCAAAAUUUGUAGAAAAGCUUGUGAGCAAAUUAUUUCUAAAAUGACAGACUUUUUCCUCUGUACUUCAAAAACUAUAUAUUGCAUGCCUACUCUAGGCAUGGGAUUGUGUUAAUUGUACCAUGGAUGAUGUAACAAAGACUAAAAUACCAUGCAUAUCUAGGGUGACUAUAUAGUUUAUCACCAAACUAGAACUGUUUUGAGAGUGAAAGGAGAGUUGUUAGAAUCCUGCUAGGCUGAUGAGCAUAAACAAAAUUCUGCAUGUGUAGCCACCCUGUACAUCUGUGUCAGUUUCUUAUGGCUACUCUAACAAUUACCAUAAACCUGGUGGUUUGAAAUAACAUAAAUUUAUUCUGUGACAGUUCCAGAGGCCAGAAGUCCAAAAUUAGUAUCACUGAGCCAAAAUCUCCAUGUUGACUGGCUGUACUCCUGGAGACUCUCAGGAGAGUCCUUUUCUCCUCUCUUCCAGCUUCUGGCGGCUGCCCACAUGCCUUGGCUUGUGCCCGCACCAAUCCAGUCUCUGCCUAUGUGGUAGCAUUGCUUCCUCCUCUUCUGUCUUUAUGAAAUCACGCUCUGCCUCCCUCUUAAGGGAACACUUGUGAUGGUGUUCAGAGUCCACCAAAAUAUUCCAGGGCAAUAUCUCCAUCUCCAUGUUAACUUAACCAUAGCUGCAAAGACCCCUUCUCCUCAUACAAAACGAUGUUUACAAAUUCUAGGGAAAAGGCCUGAUAUCUUUAGAAGAUAUUAUUCCGCUCACCACACGAUUCCCAUCUUUUAAAAUUAGACACCUCAUCAGGAAGUAUUGUGAUUUGGUGACACAUGAGUGAUAUGGACAAUACUGUGCUGUAGAAGAAACAAAUCACUUGACCUUGAGGCACCCUUACCUUGAAAGAAUAGGCAGAAUUUGGAAAAAUACAGAGGAAUGCAUCACUGACAGGUAAAGCACAAGCAAAGGUUUGGAAGAGGGGCUAAGCAAGGAUGUUUGGGGGACAAAAAAGGAGACCACCUUGCCUUGAAUAUAGAGUUCACACAAGAGCAGCAGGGGAGAAGCAUGAACGUCAGUUUGGCAUCAGGGGGCUGGUUUUUCCUCAUUCCAAGCUCUUCUCAUUUUUCUACUUUAUUUACUUGAAAACUCUCUUUCUCCUUAAUCUUUCAGUCAGUUAAUCUUUACACCUCCAUGAUCCUUCAUUUCUUUUCCCCUUUGAUGAUUUCUGAUGCUCUGCUUCUGAACUCUUCCUAAGUUCUGCCAUAGUGAUUCCCCUCUGUCUGUACUGCUGUUCCUACUGCUUUGCUUUGCAGCUCUUCUGCAUUUGACUGUGAGCUCACUGAAAGAAAGGACCGUGGCAUGUGCAUCUUUGUGUCUCCAGAAUUUAAUUAGCACAGGGAGUAAUUUAUAAGGGGUGAAUGAAUCAGUAUGGAGAUUUAUACCAAGGACCCUCAACUUCACUGAAGGUCUUUAAUGAUGGUGCUGAUGUUAGUGGUGGUCGUGGCGGUAUUUAAUUAUUUUUUCUAGGUAGGGAUCCCUUCUUUCCUCCUCUUCCCGUUCACCUGCUCUUCAUCACAGACAAGUAUGGAGCUCCUCAGGCACCAUCCAAAUUAGGGUCAUCCUAAUAAUUUGACCCCUUCAUCUACUUAGGAGGAAAUACUGAAAUCCUCCCUAAUAAAAAGCUAGGUACAGUAUGUUCUGUCUGGAGAUAUUCAGAGAUGGUAUAAAUUAUUUUCUUCUGUCAAUUUCAGGUAUGCUUGUCUCACUUUCUCAUACGUAUUAACUCACUUUUAAUAAUCUACCCAUUUUCUCUUGUUCUGCCUUUAGGCAAUUGGGAAAUAAGUGAUUGGGCACUUGUUCUUGAUAACUUGUGGAUGGUUUUGGUUUCUGGUUGCUGUAAUUAAAGGUGACUUAAGUAGAAGAAAUUAGGUGUCUGCCCACUAAUAAGCAAGGUGAUGUUCAUAAGCUGCUUUGCCACUAUUGGCCUCAGAGCUUCAACCCCAGCAACUUCCAUUAAAGCCAGGGAUUAACUAUUAGUGCAGCACAGUGGAAGGAACCAGAAGAACAGUUCUUUGGGUCCCAGCAACAAAUUACUUCUGAAUGAAACCUCUGAUUAAUGGCUCCAGAGUUGCCUCUUUGUUUUGCAUAAUUAAGUUUCAUGGAGUGUUACAAUGAACAACCUUGCCAUCACCCAGGUAGAAACAGCCACCAUUUAUUUGGCCAGCAGUGUCAGAAAGUGCUGGGUGGUGAAUAAGAAGCAUUUAUGAGGGGAUUAGGUGCAUUUGGGUCAUAAUUGAAUAAGGCUAUAAUUACUUUUCAUUAAAAAGCUACAAAUAGGAUGACCCUAUGAUACUACACCAAGUCCCCUUUCAUUUUUUUUUUUCCUGCUGAUCUGGGUCUAAGAACUUCCUUCUCUAGUCAAAUAAUGGCCAUAAUACAGAGAAAUUUGUAGUUAUAUAUGAAAGUUGACUGUUUCCUCUUUCUGCACCUCCAGCGCAUAUCUUGUUUUAUGACAUUUAUUAUGGCCGCUUUUGUUAUCACACAAGCAGUCUGAUAUGCAAUGUAGAUGUCAAGUAAGCUUGAGACUCUUGUAGCUGCCUGAGAAGAAAGUCAAGGUUCAUUGGGGCUACUGGGAGACAACAAAGUGUCUAGUACGUUGUUGCUGGUGAGCAGGCCAGGAAUCAACCAUUUGUCCAUGUCAAGAGAUUAAAACAUGAUCAAAAAAUGUUUUCUUUAUAGUUUUUUUUCCCCUGUGGAAUGACAUUUCUCUGACACAGUUAUUCCUUUGACCAGUAUCGUUUUGAUGUUAAGGCAGAGAGACCAAGAGGAGCCAUUGUAGGGAUGGCAUCCUCUGUUCUAGUCAAGUUUUCCUUGGGUCAAUAGAAUUUUUUAAAAAAUGAAUAAUAGCAACUACUUGUAUGGAGUUUUCUACAUGCCAGGUACUUUUCUAUGCUCUUUACUUGAACAUAUUUAUUUAAUGAAGAAUUUGCUCCAAAUAUUUGAUGAUUUUUACCAUUUUCUGUCUUUCUUACUUCCUUAUUUUUACCAUCCCUCUCUUCCUGAAUUUAUCUAUUUCCUCUCUGCUCCUUUCUCCUGCUCUCCCUCCCUAUCUUUCUUCUUGGCUAUCUUUAUACUGUGUCUGGGAUUUGAUCAAGGGAGAAAGAGAAAGCAAUAUGAAACCUGAAGAACACAAUUCAAGCCCUGGAACUACCACUAGACAUGAGUGUGAUUUUGAGCAAGCUGAUGAAUCAAAUUGGGCCCUAUGUUGCUUAUAAAGAAGAAGGAAAAGGAGGAGAUGAAGAAGGAGGAGUAAGAAGAGAAGCAGGAAGGAAUGAAGAAGAAAGAAGGGGAGAAGGAGGAGAAGGGGGAGAAAUAGAAGGAAGAGGAUGAGAAAUUGGAGAAAGAAGGGGAGGAGGGAACAGUAGUAAUACCUAUUCUACCCAUAGUAAAAUGUUGCCAUAAAAAUCAAAGGAGACAGUGCCUAUGAAAAUCCUCUGUAAAUUGUAAAGAACUCUACGAAUUCAACUUUUUUUGCUGACCUCCUAAUGGAUGUUUUCAGGAAUUUUACUAAGAUUUAGAGCCAGGCAUAUGUUUUUUAAAAGAGAGAGAGAUCAUGCUCUAGACAAAUUGGGUGCCUCAUUAUACACUUACCAGGAGGAAAAUGCUGCCAUUCCUGGCUAAAAACCCAUUUGUCUUGCAAAUAUCUAUAAUGAACAGAUUUUGGGAUAAAUACUAUGUAAUCUGUGAUGACAGUUCUCUCAUUUCUUUUUUAUUAGUUCAAUCUUCUCAGCAUCUGAACCACAUAGCUACAGAACCUCCAUAAUCAUUAAGGCAGCUGGGACGUAUGCAUUUUUUCUCCUUUCCUUGGCACAUCACAGAGUCCCCAAUCAGUCCCUUGUUACAAGGCCUAUGUUCUAGUAGUAGUUAAAUGCACCUGUAUAAGAAUGCCAGAACAGAAAAGAAAACAAACAGCAGGGUGCAUGGCCUUUGCAACAAAGUUCCAUUUUCACAACUGACCUUUCCCUGGGUAUUUAAAACUUGGGUUUUACUUGGAGCUUGUGGAUAAUUUGCAUUGCACUAAACAUCCCUUUGCUUAAAAUAGAUAAUCUCAGUGGAAUAUAAGGUGGUUGCAGUAAACUCUAACCCACCUUAUUCUCUAUCCCUUUUCCCUUUGUCUUUCCCUAG